RNAcentral lists this ribosomal RNA (207 nucleotides) under uncultured bacterium. RNAcentral describes it as "partial 16S ribosomal RNA". It matches the Rfam family "Bacterial small subunit ribosomal RNA", at positions 568 to 774 of the family's 1533-position model. The record is from RNAcentral.
AGCGUAGGCGGUUCGUCGCGUCCGGUGUGAAAGUCCAUCGCUUAACGGUGGAUCUGCGCCGGGUACGGGCGGGCUGGAGUGCGGUAGGGGAGACUGGAAUUCCCGGUGUAACGGUGGAAUGUGUAGAUAUCGGGAAGAACACCAAUGGCGAAGGCAGGUCUCUGGGCCGUUACUGACGCUGAGGAGCGAAAGCGUGGGGAGCAAACA